This is a non-coding RNA of Camellia sinensis, 849 nucleotides long. The record is from RefSeq and is a predicted model, not a curated record. Lineage: Eukaryota; Viridiplantae; Streptophyta; Magnoliopsida; Ericales; Theaceae.
UUUUUUUUUUUUUUUUUAUUUCUCAGAAAUAGUUGACCCAAAAUCCCCAAAUUUUCCAAAAUUCCUCAAACCCUUUGGCCCCUAGAAUUUCUUUUUCCCUCGUCUCUCAUUUUCACACUCAAAUCUCUCUCUCUCUCUCCAUCUUCGCACUACUCAUCUCACUCCCAUUCCGACUCCUCCACCGGCAAGAGCACGAAUCUGCAGAGCAUCAAUGUCGAGGCACACUAUGAUAUGAGGAACCAGGGAUUCCAGACAGCUCGAAUUUGCUGAGCAAGUUGUUGAACGCGUAAACCCUAACAUUAGCUUGAAUCUGAUGCUCUAGAUCGACGACCCUCUGUGAUCUCCAAAUUCGCUCUUAAUCUCCAAAUUCGACUCCCUCAAGACAAUAUGAUAAAGUUCCUGGAUGCACAUUGCUCCGAACCUGGUGUGGUUCCAAUUACUCCAGAGGAGCUAUCUAUGAAGGUGCUCAAGUGAAGGUCGGGAUAUGUUAAAGGACUUGGUUUGAGGCCUUCGUCCUUGGUCAGGACUACCACUGCUUCUACUGACUGUGACUAUGUAAGGCAUCUGGAGAUGGAAAUACAAGAGCAAAAGGAGGAAAUUCAGUCACAAAAAGACGAAAUUAGAGCGUAGAAACAUGAAUUCAAGCACAAAAUUAUGUGAUAGCAAAGAUGAAUGAGUUGAGUGAGGAGCAUUUGGAGAUAACGUCAAGUAUCAUGGAGUUUCUUAAGAAACAAGGUUUCAACGGACAAUUUAGGGGAGGGGGCAUCCCAUGAACUCGUAGAUCGCCUUUUUGAUUGAUUUUUGAUGACAUUUGGAAGCAUACUUGUAAAUCAAGAUCAAGUGUUAAAU